Molecule: ribosomal RNA, 253 nt
Filed under: uncultured bacterium
Lineage: Bacteria
Description: partial 16S ribosomal RNA
Rfam family: Bacterial small subunit ribosomal RNA
Source: RNAcentral
UACGAAGGGGGCUAGCGUUGCUCGGAAUUACUGGGCGUAAAGGGCGCGUAGGCGGCACUGUUAGUCAGGCGUGAAAGUCCUGGGCUUAACCUGGGAACUGCGCUUGAUACGGCAGAGCUAGAGGAUGGAAGAGGGUCGCGGAAUUCCCAGUGUAGAGGUGAAAUUCGUAGAUAUUGGGAAGAACACCGGUGGCGAAGGCGGCGACCUGGUCCGACACUGACGCUGAGGAGCGAAAGCCAGGGGAGCAAACGGG